Molecule: long non-coding RNA, 477 nt
Filed under: Ailuropoda melanoleuca (giant panda)
Lineage: Eukaryota; Metazoa; Chordata; Mammalia; Carnivora; Ursidae
Description: lncRNA (ENSAMEG00000027923.1)
Source: RNAcentral
AGGGACCAGAGCCAUGGACAGGUUCAGUAUGACCUUGGACAAGUCACUUAAUACAUUUCUAAGGUUCUGCUGUAAAAGAAGAAGGGCUGCAACUCUCACUUUUCUAGCAUAAGUUGAAUUUAAGUAAGUUCAUACAUCUAGUGUAAGACUGGAUCUGGAAUGAGACCUGAGGCUCCCUGCUUGCACCAAGCCUGCUUCCUGGACUGUGGUCACAGAACAGGCACAUCUCCAGACUUUGAUUUGGCUGAAGUAACUUAUACCACAGAGCUGUGGGCAUGCCUGGAAUUGAGAGACACAGUUAAAAGACUCCCACUUGCUUCCUGCCUUUUUGAAAACUACUGAAAACCAUCCCUUCAGACUCCAGAGUUUUACACAUCUCAACCAAGACUUUGCUUGAAUGUUUACAUUUUCUGCUUGUUGUCCUACAUACCACGAUCUAGUGUUCACCUUUUGUUAAAACAGGUGUGUCAGGAGUUG